GACGAACGCUGGCGGCGUGCUUAACACAUGCAAGUCGAGCGGUAAGGCCCUUUCGGGGGUACACGAGCGGCGAACGGGUGAGUAACACGUGGGUGACCUGCCCUCAGCUCUGGGAUAAGCCUGGGAAACCGGGUCUAAUACUGGAUAUGACUCCAUGACGCAUGUUGUGGGGUGGAAAGCCUUGUGCGGCUGAGGAUGGGCCCGCGGCCUAUCAGCUUGUUGGUGGGUGANGGCCUACCAAGGCGACGACGGGUAGCCGGCCUGAGAGGGCGACCGGCCACACUGGGACUGAGACACGGCCCAGACUCCUACGGGAGGCAGCAGUGGGGAAUCUUGCGCAAUGGGCGAAAGCCUGACGCAGCGACG
Molecule: ribosomal RNA, 366 nt
Filed under: uncultured bacterium
Lineage: Bacteria
Description: bacterial SSU rRNA
Rfam family: Bacterial small subunit ribosomal RNA
Source: RNAcentral